RNAcentral lists this non-coding RNA (109 nucleotides) under Brevundimonas sp. Root1279. RNAcentral describes it as "TPP riboswitch aptamer (THI element)". It matches the Rfam family "TPP riboswitch aptamer (THI element)". From Rfam's summary of the family: Vitamin B(1) in its active form thiamin pyrophosphate (TPP) is an essential coenzyme that is synthesised by coupling of pyrimidine and thiazole moieties in bacteria. The previously detected thiamin-regulatory element, thi box was extended, resulting in a new, highly conserved RNA secondary structure, the THI element, which is widely distributed in eubacteria and also occurs in some archaea. Lineage: Bacteria; Pseudomonadati; Pseudomonadota; Alphaproteobacteria; Caulobacterales; Caulobacteraceae. The record is from Rfam by way of RNAcentral. RNAcentral also lists the same sequence under 1 other name.
GCCCGUUCUCCGGGGGGCCGUCCCUAAGCGGCUGAGAUUGGCGUGAGCGCCUGACCCGUCGAACCUGAUCCGGGUCAUGCCGGCGAAGGGAUGGGAAACGCUUAGGUCC